GAAUUCGAUUAGAGUUUGAUCAUGGCUCAGAACGUACGCUGGCGGCACGCCUAACACAUGCAAGUCGAACGAAGUAGCAAUACUUAGUGGCAGACGGGUGAGUAACAUGUAGGUAUCUGCCCUUUGGCCUGGAAUAACACGAGGAAACUUGUGCUAAUACUGGAUAAGUCUUUACGGAGAAAGCUUUAUGCACCAUUGGAUGAGCCUGCACUUGAUUAGUUUGUUGGUGGGGUAAUGGCCUACCAAGACUGUGAUCAAUAGCUGAUUUGAGAGGAUGAUCAGCCACAUUGGGACUGAGACACGGCCCAAACUCCUACGGGAGGCAGCAGUGGGGAAUCUUGCACAAUGGAGGAAACUCUGAUGCAGCGAUGCCGCGUGAGUGAAGAAGGCCUUUGGGUUGUAAAGCUCUUUCGUCGGGGAAGAAAAUGACUGUACCCGAAUAAGAAGGUCCGGCUAACUUCGUGCCAGCAGCCGCGGUAAUACGAAGGGACCUAGCGUAGUUCGGAAUUACUGGGCUUAAAGAGUUCGUAGGUGGUUGAAAAAGUUGGUGGUGAAAUCCCAGAGCUUAACUCUGGAACUGCCAUCAAAACUUUUCAGCUAGAGUAUGAUAGAGGAAAGCAGAAUUUCUAGUGUAGAGGUGAAAUUCGUAGAUAUUAGAAAGAAUACCAAUUGCGAAGGCAGCUUUCUGGAUCAUUACUGACACUGAGGAACGAAAGCAUGGGUAGCGAAGAGGAUUAGAUACCCUCGUAGUCCAUGCCGUAAACGAUGUGUGUUAGACGUUGGAAAUUUAUUUUCAGUGUCGCAGCGAAAGCAAUAAACACACCGCCUGGGGAGUACGACCGCAAGGUUAAAACUCAAAUGAAUUGACGGGGACCCGCACAAGUAGUGGAGCAUGUGGUUUAAUUCGAAGAUACGCGCAGAACCUUACCAACACUUGACAUGUUCGUCGCGACUUUAAGAGAUUAAAGUUUUCGGUUCGGCCGGACGAAACACAGGUGCUGCAUGGCUGUCGUCAGCUCGUGUCGUGAGAUGUUGGGUUAAGUCCCGCAACGAGCGCAACCCUCACUUUUAGUUGCCAUCAUUAAGUUGGGCACUCUGAAAGAACUGCCAGUGAUAAGCUGGAGGAAGGUGGGGAUGACGUCAAGUCCUCAUGGCCCUUACGUGUUGGGCUACACACGUGCUACAAUGGUAUCUACAACAGGAAGCGAAACGGCGACGUUAAGCAAAUCCUUAAAAGAUACCUCAGUUCGGAUUGCACUCUGCAACUCGAGUGCAUGAAGCUGGAAUUACUAGUAAUCGUGGAUCAGCGUGCCACGGUGAAUGCGUUCCGCGGGUCUUGUACACACCGCCCGUAA
Molecule: ribosomal RNA, 1355 nt
Filed under: uncultured bacterium
Lineage: Bacteria
Description: bacterial SSU rRNA
Rfam family: Bacterial small subunit ribosomal RNA
Source: RNAcentral